RNAcentral lists this ribosomal RNA (200 nucleotides) under uncultured bacterium. RNAcentral describes it as "partial 16S ribosomal RNA". It matches the Rfam family "Bacterial small subunit ribosomal RNA", at positions 30 to 230 of the family's 1533-position model. The record is from RNAcentral.
AUUGAACGCUGGCGGCAUGCCUUACACAUGCAAGUCGAACGGCAGCACCGGACUUCGGUCUGGUGGCGAGUGGCGAACGGGUGAGUAAUAUAUCGGAACGUGCCCUGGAGUGGGGGAUAACUAGUCGAAGACUAGCUAAUACCGCAUACGAUCUAUGGAUGAAAGUGGGGGAUCGCAAGACCUCAUGCUCGUGGAGCGGC